RNAcentral lists this long non-coding RNA (1922 nucleotides) under Sus scrofa (pig). RNAcentral's name for it is "lncRNA (ENSSSCG00050047999.1)". The record is from RNAcentral. Lineage: Eukaryota; Metazoa; Chordata; Mammalia; Artiodactyla; Suidae.
GGGUUUGCGCAGGCGCAGAGCUACGUCCAAGCGGAACUGGGGCGUCCCGGGCUCCUGCAACCUGAACACCCGGUGUGAAAGCAAGCACAUUUCCUAAGCUAAUGGCAGGAGUUUCCCUGCAUCUGGUUUGAUCAUAGGAAGUUGGGGAAGUGAAGAUAAACAAGGAGUCACACAGACAAGAAUUUUGCAUUUGUCCGUCUUUAUAGCGGUAGAGGAGACGCCUUUGCCUUGUGAAAAACCUCAAGGCUGCCUAUCUCCUUUGGCUGUUGCGAAGUAAAAAACUAAAUGAUUCUCAUGUAAAACCCUGAAUCAAGACAAACUUUUGCUGGUGCAGAACUGAGCACUGUAGCCUUCUGCUUGAACCUCCUGCAAAUACCUUGUUCAGGAAUAGCUCAGCACUUUCAACAAUGACUUAGCAAAGAUAAUCCAGCUUAAGGCCACUACCACCAUUCAAGAAUCAAAAAGGAAGAAAUAGAAAAAGAACAAGUGAAGAAUACUCAUCAGAAAAAAAUAUUGCUGUAAAGAAGAUGAAAACAGGACUGAACAUUUUUUUUUUUUUAGUGGCCACACUCAACAGCAUGUAGAAGUUCCCAGGCUAGGAGUCAAAUUGGAGCCACAGCUGCCGGCCUACGCCACAGCCACAGAAAUGCAGGAUCCAAGCUGCAUCUGUGAUCUACACCACAGCUUAUGGCAACGCAGGAUUCUUAGCCCACUGAGUGAGGCCAGGGAUCGAACCUGCAUCCUCAUGGAUCCUAGUCAGGUUUGUUAUCAUUGAGCCAUGACGGGAAGUCCAGGAACAAACAUUUUGCUAUGAAUUUAAGAUCCUUAGUGGAAAUAUUUAGCACUGAGAGCACAAAACUGUGAUAUAAAAGGUCAGGGAAGAGACAGUAUAACUACAUGAGAAGACGCAGUGUAAGCUGAGUGGAAAGAAGAAUAAAUGAGAAAAUGAAACCAUCACUGAAAUGAAGGGGAAAUUGGAAGAAUCACAAGGGACGGUAAAGACUGGAAAACACAAUAAAGAAUUUAGAGCAAGAAAAUGAUUGAUAAGGAAAUCAAAAAAGGAAUGAAUGGCAUGUCUUUUUCAGUCUCAGAAGAGACAGUGAAAUACAGCCAAUAUUUAAUGAUAUAAUCCAAGGUAACAUUUAUGACAUAAAAAUAAACAUAAAUACACACAAAGUUGUAAGAAUAUUUUGACCAGAUUUUUGUUUUUUGGGGGGUGGAUGGGGGUGAGGGGGAGGCAUUAGGUUUCUUUUUUUGCUACAGCAAAGCCAUACGAUGGUAUUCAGUCAGGUUUUUACCUGAGGUCCUUAGUCAGCUGCCUAGAUACAGCUGAUUCAGAUAUAAGUGAGGUUUUUAGAUCCUCAAAGUAGUUACAUUAACUUUAUUUAGUCUGAUUAAAUAGGCUAAAUUGACUUCAUGCUUUUUGUUUUUUUAAAUUUACCCUCUUUUUUGGUAACCUUUGAAUAUGAAGAGAGUGCUUUAAGUAAGCCUUUUUUUUUAAAUAAAAAUAUUAGAAAACUUAAAACUGUUUCUCUAAGACAGGCUCACAAGGUAUUUCUUAAUCUGAAAGACUUGUUUUUUGAGGGUUGACACAUUUCAACUAAAGUUAGACAAAUUUUGGUUAUUGUUGGUUGACUGAGAUCAUUGAGUCUUAUCACUCCCUUGCUAAGUUUUUAAAAAUACCAAUGGCUGUUUGGCUUCAGAGGACAGAUAUCAAGUCUGUUCCAUCCACAAGUUACCUUAUAGUUUGGGCUUCCUUAACAAAAAGAUAAUUAAAAUGGAAAGUAGUUCAUACAUCUUGUUCAGUGCCAUUGCAUAAACUUGUUAAAACAAUUGGGCAUAUGAGACAAUUCAAAUAAAAGUAGAACUAUUUCAUACAGUUUCAUUCUAUGAAACAUUUUAAAUGGAAUAAAGCAGUAAAA